This is a long non-coding RNA of Perognathus longimembris pacificus (Pacific pocket mouse), 148 nucleotides long. RefSeq lists it as uncharacterized. The transcript is spliced from 3 exons. Lineage: Eukaryota; Metazoa; Chordata; Mammalia; Rodentia; Heteromyidae. The record is from RefSeq and is a predicted model, not a curated record.
CAAUUUUUUUAACCAAAAGAAUGUCCCCCCAAAAUCUUUGUUUCAGCAGAUCCAAAGCAGCUUUCCAGCAGGAAUCAGCUGUGUGUGAUGGAGACCCAUCUGCUUUUACCAUGGUAAAGGUGCUCAGGGUGAGAUGUCGUUUCCUCCA